UUACGACUAUUACUUUUAAAUCAAAGUUAUGGGUUUCCUAAUGGAUUCCAUAAUACAGAUUUCAAAGUUUACAGUAGUUUAACCAUACACAAACAUUGUAUCCUCCCCUCCUUUGUAAUCCAGCUGCUCUUUAUUUUCUUCUGCAGCCUCAUAUGGUUUAAACAUCUGGGCUUUCGGAGCCGUUCCAUGCCUGCUCGCCUUGUUAGAGGGUUUGGUGCUGGAGCCUCCGACUGAAUGCCAGAAUCCUUCCCUUUGUGCUCCUCAGUGACGUACACAAGAACUUUGAGGUGGUGUAAGAACAGAAGGAUUCGUGGCUAAUAAAUACUUCAUCUAAAUGGAAACUGAUGUAUGUUGCUCUCUGGAACCCCAUUGCCCCCAGUUCCCUCGUGGUUUUUCUACUGAAAAUCCUGUAUCCGUCUUCACCAAGCAUCCAGUGAAAGUCAAGACACUUGAGGACCAUUUAAGAGGAAUGGUGAAAAUCUGAAGUGCAGUGGAACAAGAUGGUGACUGCAGUAGGUGGAGGAUUUGUGGGAAGCUGCUGAAGAACUUCCACGUGAAAAAUGAAAGGAAGGUCCUAGUGUCAGCAUCAGUUGACACGGUUUCACAGCAAACAGCUUUUAAUAUCUUGUUUUGAAUAAAUUGAGGUAAGUUUGGUUCUUAAUGACA
RNAcentral lists this long non-coding RNA (666 nucleotides) under Parus major (Great Tit). RNAcentral describes it as "lncRNA (ENSPMJG00000011199.1)". Lineage: Eukaryota; Metazoa; Chordata; Aves; Passeriformes; Paridae. The record is from RNAcentral.